Long non-coding RNA from Numida meleagris (helmeted guineafowl), 5905 nucleotides. RefSeq lists it as uncharacterized. The transcript has 3 exons. NCBI's taxonomy places the organism in Eukaryota, Metazoa, Chordata, Aves, Galliformes, Numididae. The record is from RefSeq and is a predicted model, not a curated record.
UGAAAGAUCAAAGCUCUGUCAAAGUAAGUGUAGUACAGGCCAGGAAUAGAAACCCUUUGCAAAAAAGAACAGCUCAAAUUCAUGUGACAGCCAGGAUAUGUCUAGUGGGUAAAGCACAUCACUGUUGUGGGGGCAGGCAAAUACCAUAAAAUAAGCAAUUAUUUGAGAAAGAUACGUCAUUUCUCCAAGAAAAAUGCCUGAAGUCCUGGGAAGACCAAGCUGCUCUCCCCCAUCUGCAAGUUCUAAAAUACAUGUGGUCCCAGGAAGGCUCUUUUUUCUUUGUUGGACUGUGACACAUAUUUUGAGUGCUAUAAAGCAAUACUGGUUUCAGGCCAGAGCUACUUCUCCACUUUCUCACUUUUUUCCAAGGAAGAAAGUGUUUGAGUCUUGGUCAGGCACAGGCAUGGCUGAAGGCUGCCCAUGGGACAAACCAUUUACUAUCAUUCUGGACAACUAUGUUUUCUAUACAAAUGCUGAGUUGCUGCCUAAUACAAGACAUAGAAGAGCACUGAAUUUAUGGUGUUCAUAUGAAGCGCCACCAAUGUGUGCAGACAGGUGUGAGGAGGAGACACAGAGGAGUGCCUGCCCUGCAGUUCAGUUCAGUUUCCUCACUGAAAGGAUUUGUCUACCAAAGCACAACUUUAGCAGGGCCUGAUGACAGUAAGUGAUGAUAUUCACUGUGCCAAUUAAUGGGCACUGAGCUGUGGGCUUGGAAGGCCAUGCUAGAAGAACCCAGGGAAACCAAGAACUGAGUCCUCGGCAGUGUGGACAACUGAGAGCCUCUCUAAAAGCCCCUAGGAUGGCCAUAAAGAAAGUGUCCAGCCUGCUCCCUCCUCAGUGGGGCCGGCAGCCCUUCCAAGCUGUGUGACAAGGCAAAUGAGUGGAGCAGGAAGUCUCCCAAAAAGGGACUGAGGCUGGGAGAGGGUGAGCUGGAUGCGUUGAGCAAGCUAGCAGAACUGCUGCUCUGUGAGCUCAGUGGCUGCCCCAGCCUCAUCAGGAAAAAGAGCAGAUUUAGCAUCCUGGGAACGCACAUAGCUGGCAGGAUCACACUCUGCCAGUCCUGAAGACAGCGCUAAGCUGCAGGGCUGCAGUGCUGUGGCACUGGGCACUUGUAAACUUUGCCCUUCCUCAGCUUGAGAAGGGAAAAGCUUACAAGUGCUCCCUGGGGGGCUCUGAACACCUCUGCCAGCACAGCACAUGAAAACUGGUUUCUGCACAGGGACUGGAGUUACUAUGAGCACCUCUCACCACCCCUCAGCCCUCUUGCCCCACUCCCCUCUGAGCAUCCUUUGAUGGUGAGGUUUGAGAGACACCGAGAGCUAACUCUUUCCACCUGGCACCCAAAUUCCAAUCUCCUCCGAUCAGGCUUUGCCUUUCUUCCCUUUCUGUCCCUCCAUCCUCCUCCUUUGGUAACUGACCUAAUGGGGCCACACCAGCUCUUGCAAUGUGCCAGUAUGAAAAUGAGCUCCUAACACGGAGUUCCUUGUGACCGUGGAAAGCUGCCCAGCAUUUUAAUCUGUGCCAGGCCCCUAGGCAGAAGUGGAGCAGGCUCAGCUAAUGCCGAAGGGAAAUGAUUAGCAGCUGUAGACUUGCGUCUCAGUGGCAUAGGAUUUGGGAUUCAUUUUCUUAAAAAGUGCAGAGCUGAAAGCUCCAGGGUGAUCCGGGGCCACCGGAAAGCGUUGGAAAAGAAGAAAUUUCCGACCUGCACAAUGUUCAGAAUGCCUGCUUUGUACCAGAAUUUUGCAAAAGGACCUGCAGGAUGUUCUUUAUUUAAAAUGCAGUUAGGGAAGCGAAUGCUGCACAGGCAGACUUAUCUAGAUCUAAGUAGUUGCAAUGUCAACCGCGGUGAAGCCACAGCAGCAUGGUCAAGCAAGCUUGCUCAAGCCCUGACUUGACUUGUCUGGCCUUCCUGGAAGUCUGUCCUGCUGUUACUUCAUCACUGCUAGAGUUUACUUACAGUUGCUAUGCUGCAGUUAAACAUUCUGAUUCUGUGGUAAGCAUGCCCUAAGUGUGAUGGAGCCUGAAAAUUUGGGAAGCAAACUGAGCUCAUGCAACUGAACUGACUCCAAAUAGAAGGGAAUAGAAAACAACAACCCUUCCUUUUCUUCCUGGAUCCCUCAUCUGAGAAAGAAAAUUCUUCUAACAGGCUGGUUAUAGGUCUGUAUCUCCAGCUCUCACAUUCCACUGUUCAAAAGCAGUGCACAAAGGGUAUCUGGCAACACAUUCAAGCACCUGACCUGUGCAGAGGCAUGAAGAUGAAGAUGCAAACUAUUCUGUUACAGAAUAUGGCAGAAGUCUCCUUAGCUGGAGGAGAAGUCAUCAUGAGAAGGUAGUUUUAUUUUUCCUGGCUGUUCUCUCCUGGCUUUGUAGGGUCUUUGCCCAUAGGCUGUUUUCCUGAGAGAAGUAGUCAGUGACAUUAAUUUGAUGUCAUUAUAUCCUGUUUUUACUGGCUUCUGGAAAAUAUAGCCCUUGUAAUUAUGAAAGAAAAAAGAGAUGAGCCUUCAGUGACCUGUGAAAAAGCAACAGCAUCCACAGCUAUUUGUGCUCCCCAGCCAUGACAGAACCCUCCCUGCUGCACAGACCCUCCUAGUCCAGCGUCCUACCCCUCACACUGAGACAAGGACAGAAAAAGGUGACCAAGUAUCUCCUGGUGCUUCACCACCAGCUCAUAGCCAAUGCAGGCAAUGGAAAUUCUGUCUUCAUGCUGGGUCCUCUAGGAUUUGUCAGUAGCACAUUAGUUAGCUUUCCAGGUACUCUCCUGCUCUCUUACUUUACUUGUAGGGUGCUGUUAUCACAUCCUUUCCCCUUUUGAAUACAAAGAGGAGGAGAACAUGUCCACCAAAGCAGAGACACACUGGCCAGCCUGCAAUGAUGUCGGUCUGCAAAAUCUGGAAGCCAGCAGCCCGCUUUGCUUAAGGUCUCAGUGAAAUUCUGGAAGCAGCAGCAGAAGCUGAGAAAGCACGUGGCCUUUGUGGAAGACAUCGUGACACAAAUGGGAACCAAUUUGAACAGUUCAGCCUCUUCCCAAAAGGGUCUGGUGGGUCCUGCGAAUUCUGCAGUCUGGCAGCACAGGAAGAACUGUACCAUAAGACAUGACUCGCAUCUGUUGCUUGCAUGUUUCUUAAAACAUAUCAUCUGUGAACAACUCUUCUGUCCAGCUCUGCUUGUCUUGGGUAGCCACACUUUGGGAGAGUGGCUGUGGAUGUGCCAGAGCACGCAAGUGACUAUGUACAAAAGCACUAUACCAAAACAUAAAUUAACAAGAGAUUAAAGGGGAACAGAUGUUGGCUGAUAUUGUCCACUGUGCUUCUGGGAGACAGCCCAGUGCAGCUGCUGUCUGCCCAGGGCUCUGCUAGCUCAGGGCAGAAGGGCUGGGAUUCUUACAGCCGCACUGAUCUUCAGAGCACAGAACUGUGUGUGCUUCAGGUGAUAUCCUUUUCUGCGUGACAGCUUGUUUAAUGGGGUGGACUUUCUGUAACAAUUUCUUUAAAUGGACCCCUGUGACCAAAAAACAUUAGCAUUUAACUGCAGGAUCCUGGGUCCUGCUGAAACUGCAUUCUGGGCUCCACUGAAGUGAACCAUUCAAUCCAUUACAGAGAAGAAGAUCUGAACAACUAGAUCAUUACUCCCAAGCCAAGUUAGGCCACCCAUGAUGCAAAGCUUACCAUCAGAAGAUGGAAUGUUCUGCUGCCCAAAUUAAUUUUUAUCACUUAGUGUGUAAGUCACACUAUUCCUGUUUUUAUAUCUUCUUGCUGCCUUCCUUUUCUUGUCCAUAGCCUUUCUUUCAAUACUGUGUAUAUCCUUGCCUCUCUUAUUCUACACUCUGCUGUACCAACUUACCACUUAAUUAUGUUAUGCAAUAAUAUCCUCCUUGCUCAAUCUCUCUGUUUCCUAAAUCCUCAGGAAUAUGCUGCCACCCCCACUGCCAUCUCUGAAAGAUUUUCCAUUGUGCUUCUGCUAGCUUCUGGAGAACUUGUGCUCCUGUGUCACUUCAUAUAAAAAGGUCCAGUCUUCAGUCAUUUAUGUUUCUUUUCCUGGAGGUUCCUGAUGGAGAGGGAUUUAAAAACUGAUCAAGAAGAAACAGCCCCAAACCAGCUUGUUCUUUUUUGAAUACUCUCACUCAGUAUCUCUAAGGCCUUUUAACUGUUUACUUAUCUCUCCCAUCCACAGUUUCCCACCACUGGAAGCUAUUGUCCAUCUAAUGCAGAGCAGAACAUGCCUGUAAGCUCAGACUAAAUCCAAACCAUUACUUGUAAUGUUCCUACCACUAAAGCAUCCUCAAAUAGCUGUGAAAUCCCAGAGAUUUAAGCCCUUAAUGGCAGAAACUAGCUUCUAGAUUUUUAUUUGCAUAUAAAGACUCACUCAUACAUGUUUUAUUACUGUGAAACUGCAGCUGUAACCCUGGAGUGGAGCUCAUUGCCUUUCAGCUUGUGACGGCACUUUUCCCACAAGCAUAUCCCAGGUCCUGCCUUCCCCAUCUCCUGUAUACUCAGAACUGAAGAUGGGAUCACCUUUGCUGGUGCACGUCUGGGCUGUCUUUCGUCCUGCCUUGCUGCAUGCUCCAGUCUGCUGCACUCACAGGGCUUUGCUGAAAGCAAAUGGAUGGGGCCAUGGAUCCCCUGCAGAGCCUCCUUAACAAUUUGCCAUGCUCCCCUGCUCAUAGCUGGUCUUCCCAGCACCCAGUGCCACAAAUAGUACUUUUCGUGAGUCUCCCCUGAUACAGCAUCAUGGGUUACCAGAUACUUGCAAAAAAAGAACAUCUUUCUCAGCAGGUGUCCUGAGCCUCCCAGGAAGUGUUUGCUGUUCUCUGUUUGCAGGUCUCCUCUCAUUUAUCAGGCCAUCCAGGUCACUCAUCACUUCCUGAUGUUAAUGCUGGAAGAUAGGGCUACUGAGUGCAAGAGUGGCAAAGCUGUCAUGCUCCAGCUGGGCAAAAGUGGAGCCUCACUCAGUAAAUAUUGACACGUCUGCAAGCAAACAGAAGGCAGCUUUCAGCAAGCAGCUCUCUGGCUCCCUGAACAGAGGCUGGACCAGAGAUGCUCAGUGCUUUGUGGUUAUGAGCUGAUGUUUACCGAGUGCAGGAUGCAGGCACGGAUCUCCAGCAGCUGUGAUGACAGUGGCAAAAUCACAGGCUUGCAGGAGUCACCAGCAGUGUGCCUACUGCCCACCUGUACUACAAGUGGCUGCAACCACUUCAGCCUCUGGAAAAUCAAGCUGUCUCUGUCACUCCUCAGCAACUUCCAGUCAAGAUUUCUUCAAGAAAAUAUUCCAGACAUUCUCUAUUAAAAACGGUUAGCACAAAACAGAGUUUUGCUCCAAGUCUUGAGUUCCCCUGACUGCCAGUUCUAAAACACUGCCUUUGAUAUUUAGGUGGUUAUUGUCCCUCCUGCGGGUUGUUAGAUGUAAAGAAGUCACAAGUACGAGUGCAUAUAAACACAGAAGUCAUCAGAAUGAGUCCUUCUCAUGGAUCCAUGAAUUCAAAUAGCCAGUCAUUCACAGAAUCAAUUCUUCCUGGAAUUCCAAAAUGUAGUUCUUAUACAGAUUAGCGUACACUGUAAAAUAGGAGUUUGAUGUCUCCUUUCAGACUGCUCCCGGCAAGCUAAAGGACCACACUCCCUGGACAGGUGGAGCAGAGCCCUUUUCACAAAGAAGAGAUGGGAUUGCAAGGAAGGGGUCUUGAUGGAUUGGGUUCACUUCCUGGCCCACGCUCUAUGACUUUGAGCAAGUUAUUUGAUCUCUUAAUGCUUUAGCUCCUAUCCAUGAAAAGGAGGUGAUAAUGAUUUCUCUCUACAGCUCUUUCUUUUACCUACUUAGGCUGAAAGCAACUUGAUUUUUUUUCCCCUGUGUUCCUGUGUUUUCUGUUUGUUUGUAUUCCUAGUAUGUAGGUUGUUCUGAAAGUAAUGUCUUC